UACGGAGGGGGCUAGCGUUGUUCGGAAUUACUGGGCGUAAAGCGCACGUAGGCGGCUUUGUAAGUUAGAGGUGAAAGCCCAGGGCUCAACCCUGGAAUUGCCUUUAAGACUGCAUCGCUUGAACAUCGGAGAGGUAAGUGGAAUUCCGAGUGUAGAGGUGAAAUUCGUAGAUAUUCGGAGGAACACCAGUGGCGAAGGCGGCUCACUGGUCCAUUACUGACGCUGAGGUGCGAAAGCGUGGGGAGCAAACAGG
RNAcentral lists this ribosomal RNA (253 nucleotides) under uncultured bacterium. Its description in RNAcentral is "partial 16S ribosomal RNA". It matches the Rfam family "Bacterial small subunit ribosomal RNA", at positions 524 to 776 of the family's 1533-position model. The record is from RNAcentral.